This 772-nucleotide ribosomal RNA is filed under the name uncultured organism. RNAcentral's name for it is "SSU rRNA". It matches the Rfam family "Bacterial small subunit ribosomal RNA", at positions 691 to 1459 of the family's 1533-position model. The record is from RNAcentral.
UAGAUAUCGGGAAGAACACCAAUGGCGAAGGCAGGUCUCUGGGCCGUCACUGACGCUGAGGAGCGAAAGCGUGGGGAGCGAACAGGAUUAGAUACCCUGGUAGUCCACGCCGUAAACGGUGGAUGCUGGAUGUGGGGCCCUUUCCACGGGUCCCGUGUCGGAGCCAACGCGUUAAGCAUCCCGCCUGGGGAGUACGGCCGCAAGGCUAAAACUCAAAGAAAUUGACGGGGGCCCGCACAAGCGGCGGAGCAUGCGGAUUAAUUCGAUGCAACGCGAAGAACCUUACCUGGGCUUGACAUGUGCCGGAUCGCCGUGGAGACACGGUUUCCCUUCGGGGCCGGUUCACAGGUGGUGCAUGGUCGUCGUCAGCUCGUGUCGUGAGAUGUUGGGUUAAGUCCCGCAACGAGCGCAACCCUCGCCGCAUGUUGCCAGCGGGUGAUGCCGGGAACUCAUGUGGGACCGCCGGGGUCAACUCGGAGGAAGGUGGGGAUGACGUCAGAUCAUCAUGCCCCUUACGUCCAGGGCUUCACGCAUGCUACAAUGGCCGGUACAACGCGGUGCGACACGGUGACGUGGGGCGGAUCGCUGAAAACCGGUCUCAGUUCGGAUCGCAGUCUGCAACUCGACUGCGUGAAGGCGGAGUCGCUAGUAAUCGCGGAUCAGCAACGCCGCGGUGAAUGCGUUCCCGGGCCUUGUACACACCGCCCGUCAAGUCAUGAAAGUGGGUAGCACCCGAAGCCAAUGGCCCGACCCUUGUGGGGGGAGCCGUCUA